UUGGACCUGAUAUCAGGCAAGAUU
This 24-nucleotide ribosomal RNA is filed under the name Phytophthora multivesiculata. Its description in RNAcentral is "partial 28S ribosomal RNA". The record is from RNAcentral. Lineage: Eukaryota; Oomycota; Peronosporomycetes; Peronosporales; Peronosporaceae.